RNAcentral lists this unclassified non-coding RNA (955 nucleotides) under Hevea brasiliensis (rubber tree). The record is from RNAcentral. Lineage: Eukaryota; Viridiplantae; Streptophyta; Magnoliopsida; Malpighiales; Euphorbiaceae.
UGUCUGUCAAAUCUUCAGUACUUAUGAUUUCAAGGCUAUUCACAAAGGAUUGAAAAUAAAUUUAAUUUUGACUUUGUCUAGGAAUGAAGCCACAAACAAACAUUAUCUAAAAGAAUUUGAUAACUUAGUCUAGGUCACUUCUCUGUUUAAUCUAGAUCAAUGAGCAACUUUCGAUAACCUUGUACCAAUUUAUUUUCCCUGCAAUCACAAUGAAAAAAUCCUUUCUGAAUUACUAAAUACCAAUCCAUUUUGGAGUACCACAUCAGCUCACAAAUUUGACUUAACCAAACCAUGAUGUCUCUGUCGACACGAAAUGAUAAAAGAAGCAAUAAUGAAUCUUUGGCAUUGUGCUAAAAUAUUGGCUAACACAGAGGUAUCCUUUAUCACUAUCAGAGAAGGAUGAACAGAAUAGACAACGUUAGAUCUGUUAUAACAGGCACACAGAUCUAAGGAGUAUAGAGAAAAGAAGAAAAAUGAAACAAAAUUUACAUGAUUCGACUCUAAUGUUUACAUCUAUGGGCAAGACAUGAGAGAAAAAAAAUCAACUAUGAUGAAAAAAGAAACAUAUAAUCACGUAGAACUCUCUAAACUCCAACCCUAGUAGGUUUUCCCAAACUCUCACAAUACUGCCGAAAUAGGCAGAUAACGUGUCCUUAGCUACCACCAGAGUCACAAAAAUAUUCUAUUCAAGUCACAAUGCAGGCUUGUCAGACAGGGUCAAAAUUUUCCAAACCCUAACCCCAUUAGGUUUUCCCAAACUCUCAGAAUACUGCCGAAUAGGCAGAUAACAUGUCCUUAGCUACCACCAGACCUCACAAAAAAAUUCUAUUCAAGUCACAAUGCAGGCUUGUCAGACAGGGUCAAAAUUUUCCAAACCCUAACCCCAUUAGGUUUUCCCAAACUCUCAGAAUACUGCCGAAUAGGCAGAUAACAUGUCCUUAGCUACCACCAGACC